ACGCAGCUAGGAGAUGCCGGCAAUGCAGGGGAAGAGUGGAGCCCUGGGGAGGGGCUGCAAGGAGAAGGGGGAGUUUCGCUCCCGGUGCAGCAGUUCUAAGGAUUCAGUAGAAAACUGGAAACCAGUGAACAAACUAACAUGCCUUCCUACUCCUGCGAACCUUUAGAAGAUCUGAAACUCCUCUUCAAACGACUAUGAAGUGUCUCCCCGGCUGGUGCUGAGACUCUCUGACUGCCAUUACUUCAAGCCGACAGAUGAUCCUUUCUACUUGAGGAGAUUCGCGUAUGUUGCCUACCUUGGAUUCGGCUGCCUGUGCCUUUGGUAACGCCUAUAUAUAAAUUCCCCAACUGACCAAUGUUGACUCGUAGGGACAUCUCUACGCCCCUGUUCAGCAGGAAGAAGUUACAGAAGAUAAAACCUUCCAACCUCAGCAACCUGAAAUAUUGAAGGGUCAAAAUUGUUCAGGAGGGAAAACGAGGAGGAGAACAAAGGCAAGAGAAAUGCAGCUAAGAUUAAAUUACCUUACAGUUCUCAGCCCACUGAUAAAUACCUGAGACCUGCAGAGCAUGACAUUCCUCAAGGAACCUCAUGACUGCUUUAAUGUUAAUGUUUUGCUAGAGACUAAAAGCAACCUCGUCUUGACAAUAAUAGCCAGAUCUCCAGGAUCCUAGAAGUCUUCUUUAACAUGUGGAAAUCCCUUUAGAGACUUAUGUUAUCUCUAUAUACUUUUAAUUUUUUCCGGGGGGGGGGCAUGUAAUCAGUUGCUCCUCACAAUCAUAAGUGCAACUCACUGCCCACGGGGGUCCUAUGCCUGUGCUAUAAUAAAAGCACC
Non-coding RNA from Leptonychotes weddellii (Weddell seal), 832 nucleotides. Lineage: Eukaryota; Metazoa; Chordata; Mammalia; Carnivora; Phocidae. The record is from RefSeq and is a predicted model, not a curated record.